This 531-nucleotide ribosomal RNA is filed under the name uncultured bacterium. RNAcentral describes it as "bacterial SSU rRNA". It matches the Rfam family "Bacterial small subunit ribosomal RNA", at positions 777 to 1307 of the family's 1533-position model. The record is from RNAcentral.
AAUAGAUACCCGGGUAGUCCACGCCGUAAACGAUGAGUGCUAGGUGUUAGGGGGUUUCCACCCCUUAGUGCUGCAGCUAACGCAUUAAGCACUCCGCCUGGGGAGUACGGUCGCAAGACUGAAACUCAAAGGAAUUGACGGGGGCCCGCACAAGCGGUGGAGCAUGUGGUUUAAUUCGAAGCAACGCGAAGAACCUUACCAGGUCUUGACAUCCCGCUGACCGCCAUGGAGACAUGGCUUUCCCUUCGGGGACAGCGGUGACAGGUGGUGCAUGGUUGUCGUCAGCUCGUGUCGUGAGAUGUUGGGUUAAGUCCCGCAGCGAGCGCAACCCUUGUCCUUAGUUGCCAUCAUUCAGUUGGGCACUCUAAGGAGACUGCCGUACAAAUACGGAGGAAGGUGGGGAUGACGUCAAAUCAUCAUGCCCCUUAUGACCUGGGCUACACACGUGCUACAAUGGGCAGUACAAAGGGCUGCGAACCCGCGAGGGGGAGCGAAUCCCAAAAAGCUGCUCCCAGUUCGGAUUGCAGGCUG